This 1773-nucleotide ribosomal RNA is filed under the name Triticum aestivum (bread wheat). RNAcentral describes it as "partial small subunit ribosomal RNA". The record is from RNAcentral. Lineage: Eukaryota; Viridiplantae; Streptophyta; Magnoliopsida; Poales; Poaceae.
AUGAAGCGAUUUGAGAGCUUUGUGCCGGUGCCGGACACUCUGCUCCAGAAGGCACGGCAGGAGCAGGGGCAUACGCCGUGGGUGCAAACGCCGGUUACCGACCUGACCGCCGUGGGCGAGGGCCACGGUACUGUGCUUUCGCUCAAGUUGGACCGGUUGUCGGAUUCAGUUUCCGGGCUCACCGUUGUUGAUCCAAAAGGAUACCUUACAGACUUGAACAUCAUGAAAAUUACUAGCAACGCCGAGAUUUCUGACAUUAAGAAGGCAAGACUGCUGCUCAGGUCUGUGACGCAGACCAACCCAAAGCAUCCUCCAGGUUGGAUUGCUGCUGCUAGGCUCGAAGAGGUUGCUGGAAAGCUCCAGUCUGCUCGGCAGCUCAUUCAGCGCGGCGCAUGCCGGUUGGCUAGCCCAGAAGAUUUCAAGGCAGUCAUCGCCAGGGGUGUCAAGGCAAUUCCCAAUUCUGUGAAGCUGUGGCUCAGGGUUUUGAGGAAGGGGAUGGAGCACAUUCCUGAUUCAGUUAGGCUAUGGAAGGCUGUUGUGGAGCUGGCAAACGAGGAGGAUGCAAGGAUGUUGCUUCACAGGGCUGUGGAGCUCGAGACAUAUGACCAGGCAAGGAAGGUGCUUAAUAAAGCCAGGGAGAAGCUCGACAAGGAACCUGCCAUUUGGAUCACAUUCACAGCUGCAAAGCUGGAGGAGGCUAAUGAGAACACCCAAUCCGUAAGCAAGACGAUUGAGAGGGGUGUAGAAUCUUUGCAGAGAGAGGGGUUGGAUAUUGACAGGGAGGCAUGGCUAAAAGAAGCCGAAGCUGCAGAGCGGGCCGGGUCUAUGCUUACUUGCCAGGCUAUUGUCAAAAGCACUAUCGGAGUAGGGGUCGAUGAUGAGGACCGGAAGCAAACAUGGGUUGCGGAUGCAGAGGAAUGUACGAAAAGAGGUUCAAUUGAGACAGCUCGGGCCAUCUAUGCACAUGCUCUUAGCGUGUUCGUUACCAAGAAGAGUGAAAUGCGAAUGAGGAAAUUAAGGAGGUUGUUGGAGGAAGGCCUGAAGUUAUUCGCCUCAUUCUUCGAAUUGUGGUUAAUGCUAGGGCAGAUGGAAGACCGUAUGGGCCGUGGAGCGAAGGCAAAGGAGGUUUAUGAGAAUGCACUCAAGCACUGCCCCGGUUGCAUCCCUCUUUGGCUCUCGCUAGCUAGUCUAGAGGAGAGGAUAAAUGGCUUGAGCAAGUCACGCGCUUUCCUCACCCUAGCAAGGAAAAAGAACCCAGCUACACCUGAACUAUGGCUUGCAGCUAUUCGAGCUGAACUGAGGCACGGGAACAACAAGGAAGCUGAUUCUCUACUAGCCAAGGCAUUGCAAGAGUGUCCAACAAGUGGCAUUUUGUGGGCUGCGGCUAUUGAGAUGGUGCCACGUGCCCAACGCAAAUCAAAGAGCUCAGACGCCAUAAAGAGGUGUGAUCAUGAUCCGCAUGUCAUCGCAGCUGUAGCCAAACUUUUCUGGCAUGACAGGAAGGUUGAUAAAGCAAGAAGUUGGUUCAACAGAGCUGCUUCCCUUGCUCCUGAUAUUGGGGAUUUUAGGGCAUUGUACUAUAAAUCUGAACUUCAGCAUGGAAAUGCGGAUACACAAAGGGAUGUUCUAAAGCGAUGCAUUGCAGCUGAACCAAAACAUGGCGAGAGAUGGCAAGCUACAAGCAAGGCUGUUGAGAACUCACAUCAGCCAACUGAUGCCAUUCUGAGGAGAGUCGUUUUGGCACUUGGUGUGGAAGAAAACCCAAUGCUAUAG